Candoia aspera is the source of this 187-nucleotide small nuclear RNA. RefSeq annotates it as U2 spliceosomal RNA. The record is from RefSeq and is a predicted model, not a curated record. The transcript has a single exon. NCBI's taxonomy places the organism in Eukaryota, Metazoa, Chordata, Lepidosauria, Squamata, Candoiidae.
AUCGCUUCUCGGCCUUUUGGCUAAGAUCAAGUGUAGUAUCUGUUCUUAUCAAUUUAAUAUCUGAUAUGUUCUCUGAGAACUAUAUAUUAAAUGGAUUUUUGGAAAUAGGAGAUUGACUAAGGGCUUGCUUUAUCCACUCCAUGCAUCAACCUGGUAUUGCAGUACCUCCAGGAAUGGUGCCCCUCUC